AUGAUCAAGUCCAUGGUUUAUUACGGGAACACCUCCAUCGGGGAGGUGGAGGUGUGGCCCAAGGGCGACACGAACCUGGGCGCGGCGGCGUGGGCGCGAGAGAUCCGCGUGGACCGCCUUUCCCCGCCCAGCGAGCGCUGCCUGCCGCUCGCCGUCAUGCACACCGUGGCGGUUGGAGCUCGCUGCCUCGUCAUGGAGUCCAGGCCGCCCAAGGCCGCCGACGAGCCACCACCGCCACUCGUCGCCAUGCACGCUGCUUGCCUCAGGGACAAUAAGACUGCAGUUGUUCCGUUAGGAGAGGAAGAAUUGCAUUUAGUGGCAAUGACAUCAGGGAGAAACUUGACAAACCAUGCAUGUUUCUGGGGCUAUAAAGUGCCAUUUGGUCUGUAUAAUUCUUGCUUGACCAUGUUAAAUCUCCGCUGCCUCGGUAUUGUGUUUGACCUUGAUGAGACAUUGAUUGUUGCCAAUACCACACGCUCUUUUGAGGACAGAAUUGAUUCACUUCAAAGAAAGCUGAGUAAUGAGACUGAUCCACAACGCAUGAAUGGUAUGUUAGCAGAGAUCAAGAGGUACCAAGAUGAUAGAUCUAUCCUAAAGCAGUAUAUAGAAGGUGAUCAGGUCUAUGAUGAUGGAAAAAUGUAUAAAGUGCAACCUGAGAUUGUUCCACCAUUGUCUGAUAACCAUCAAUCAUUGACACGCCCAGUUAUAAGAUUACAAGAGAAAAACAUUAUCUUGACCAGAAUAAAUCCUUUGAUAAGGGAUACAAGUGUUCUUGUUCGGUUAAGGCCAGCAUGGGAGGAUCUCCGAAGCUACUUGAUUGCAAGAGGUCGCAAGCGUUUUGAGGUCUAUGUGUGUACAAUGGCGGAGAGAGACUAUGCUUUAGAAAUGUGGAGAUUGCUUGAUCCAGACUCAAGAUUGAUUAACUCUGUUCAACUUAGUGACAGAAUGGUGUGUGUAAAAUCUGGCUUAAAAAAGUCCUUGCUAAAUGUUUUCCAUGAUGGAUCUUGCCAUCCUGGAAUGGCAUUAGUAAUUGAUGAUCGUCUGAAAGUUUGGGAUGAGAAAGACCAAUCUAGAGUUCAUGUGGUUCCUGCUUUCACCCCAUACUAUGCACCUCAAGCCGAGGCAAACUGUUCCAUCCCAGUUCUAUGUGUUGCCAGAAAUGUCGCGUGCAAUGUUAGGGGCGGCUUCUUCAAGGACUUUGAUGAAGGCCUCUUGCCAAGGAUUACGAGUGUUCUUUAUGAGGAUGAAAUACAGGAUAUCUCAUCAGCCCCAGAUGUGGGCAAUUAUUUGAUUUCAGAGGAUGAGAAUGUUGCAGUAGUGAAUGGGAACAGAGAUUCACUGGCUUUUGAUGGCAUGGCUGAUGCUGAGGUUGAGAGGAGAAUGAAGGAAGCAUCUGGCAGUGGCAGUGUUUUGAAUCCAACAAUGGCUAACAUGGUGAUGCCAGUAGCCCCUAGUCAAAGUUUUGCUCCAUCUUCAGUAGCGCCAUUUGCACCACCUCUUGGCAUGAUGCCUUUGAGUAACAAUCAAGUUCCGCCACCUGCAUUCAGCCAACCAGUCGUUCAACCAGUUGUCUUAGAUCCACUGCAAGCUUCUCCAGGUAGAGAAGAGGGCGAGGUUCCAGAGUCUGAGUUAGAUCCUGACACAAGGAGAAGGCUUCUCAUAUUACAACAUGGCCAAGACACAAGAGAUCCUACACCACCUCUUCCAGCAGUACCUCCUGCGCAAGUUUCAGUUCCUCCGGUGCAAUCUCAUGGGAAUUGGUUCCCUAUCGAGGAUGGCAUUGGCAUGAACUCAAAUAAUUUGAACAUGGGUUCAGCAGGGUUCCCUUCAGAAUCUGAUACCAUGCAUUAUGAUAAAAAACAACCACCACAGCCAUCUUACUUCCAUGGUGGCGAUAAUAAUCCAGUGCCCUCUGAUAGAUUUAGUUAUCAGAGCCAGAGGUUUCCCUCUCAGGUAACACAUACUGAGGACCACCGCAUGCUUCAGAACCAUGCACCUCCAAGAUACAGAUCCUUUCCUGGUCAGAGAAACAACUUGAUUGAGUCUGGACAAAGCUAUGCACGAAAUGUAGGUUCUGUUGGCAUACUAGAGGAGAUCGCACUGAAGUCUGGAUCUAAGGUGGAGUACAGGUCAACAUUAUGUGAUACCGCAGAACUACAGUUCUCUAUUGAGAUUUGGAUAGUGGGAGAAAAAGUGGGUGAAGGCAUUGGUAGCUCAAGGAAAGAAGCACAGCGUCAAGCUGCAGAAAUAUCUUUAAGAAAUUUGGCCAAUAAAUACCUGUUGUCUGAUCCAAAUAAGAUGACUGAUGUGAACGAAGAUGGUUUCGGUAGCAAUCCAAACUUUUUUGGAUACUCUGAAAAUACCAGGAACGAUAUAUUGUCAGUCGCAAGCACUUCAGAGGAAUCCCGAUUCACGAAAACAGGGGAGAACAAUUCCAGAAUAACAGGAGGCUCUAUUGCUGCUCUGAAGCAACUUAUGUGUGAAAGCAUACUGCAGUGCACAGUUGAGGGAUAUAACUUAGUUUUUCAAGCUCGGCCAAGUCCUCUAGAUGGUUCAGGUGGCAAGGAGACUUACGCUCAGGUAGAAGUUGGUGGGCAAACUCUUGGCAAAGGAGUUGGAAUAACAUGGGAAGAAGCUAAGCUUCAGGCGGCUGAUGAGGCUCUUGGAACUUUGAGAUCCAUGCUUGGUCAACUUGCUCAGAAACGGUCUAGUUCUCCAAGGUCUUUGGCGCCCAAUUAUAAUAAGCGCUUCAAGCCAGAUUUCCCCCGGGCAGUGCAAAGGCCUCCUUAUGGUAGAUAUUCCAGGAUUGAAGGCCAUGUUCCUUGA
This 2826-nucleotide ribosomal RNA is filed under the name Triticum aestivum (bread wheat). RNAcentral's name for it is "partial small subunit ribosomal RNA". Lineage: Eukaryota; Viridiplantae; Streptophyta; Magnoliopsida; Poales; Poaceae. The record is from RNAcentral.